GAUGAACGCUGGCGGCGUGCCUAAUACAUGCAGGUCGAGCGAACGGACGAGAAGCUUGCUUCUCUGAUGUUAGCGGCGGACGGGUGAGUAACACGUGGAUAACCUACCUAUAAGACUGGGAUAACUUCGGGAAACCGGAGCUAAUACCGGAUGAUAUUUUGAACCGCAUGGUUCAAAAGUGAAAGACGGUCUUGCUGUCGCUUAUAGAUGGAUCCGCGCUGCAUUAGCUAGUUGGUAAGGUAACGGCUUACCAAGGCAACGAUGCAUAGCCGACCUGAGAGGGUGAUCGGCCACACUGGAACUGAGACACGGUCCAGACUCCUACGGGAGGCAGCAGUAGGGAAUCUUCCGCAAUGGGCGAAAGCCUGACGGAGCAACGCCGCGUGAGUGAUGAAGGUCUUCGGAUCGUAAAACUCUGUUAUUAGGGAAGAACAUAUGUGUAAGUAACUGUGCACAUCUUGACGGUACCUAAUCAGAAAGCCACGGCUAACUACGUG
Molecule: ribosomal RNA, 497 nt
Filed under: uncultured bacterium
Lineage: Bacteria
Description: partial 16S ribosomal RNA
Rfam family: Bacterial small subunit ribosomal RNA
Source: RNAcentral